This 466-nucleotide ribosomal RNA is filed under the name uncultured bacterium. RNAcentral describes it as "partial 16S ribosomal RNA". It matches the Rfam family "Bacterial small subunit ribosomal RNA", at positions 28 to 523 of the family's 1533-position model. The record is from RNAcentral.
GAUGAACGCUGGCGGCGUGCCUAACACAUGCAAGUCGAGCGAACCCUUCGGGGUGAGCGGCGGACGGGUGAGUAACGCGUGGGCAACCUGCCCUAUACACACGGAUAACGUACCGAAAGGUACGCUAAUACGGGAUAAUAUUGUUGGAUGGCAUCUUCUAACAAUCAAAGCUCCGGCGGUAUAGGAUGGACCCGCGUCUGAUUAGCUAGUUGGUGAGGUAAUGGCUCACCAAGGCGACGAUCAGUAGCCGACCUGAGAGAGUGAUCGGCCACACUGGAACUGAGACACGGUCCAGACGCCUACGGGAGGCAGCAGUUGGGAAUAUUGCACAAUGGGCGAAAGCCUGAUGCAGCAACGCCGCGUGAGCGUUGAAGGUCUUCGGAUCGUAAAGCUCUGUCCUCAAGGAAGAUAAUGACGGUACUUGAGGAGGAAGCCCCGGCUAACUACGUGCCAGCCGCCGCCGUAA